UACAGAGGGUGCGAGCGUUGUCCGGAAUCACUGGGCGUAAAGGGCGCGUAGGCGGCCUGAUACGUAGGGGGUGAAAUCCUGUGGCUCAACUGCAGGGCUGCCUCCUAGACUGUCGGGCUUGAGCACGGUAGAGGCAGAUGGAAUUCCCGGUGUAGCGGUGGAAUGCGUAGAUAUCGGAAGGAACAUCAGUGGCGAAAGCGACUUCCUGGACCAAUACUGACGCUCAUGUGCGAAAGCGUGGGGAGCAAACAGG
This 253-nucleotide ribosomal RNA is filed under the name uncultured bacterium. RNAcentral's name for it is "partial 16S ribosomal RNA". It matches the Rfam family "Bacterial small subunit ribosomal RNA", at positions 524 to 776 of the family's 1533-position model. The record is from RNAcentral.